RNAcentral lists this ribosomal RNA (403 nucleotides) under uncultured bacterium. Its description in RNAcentral is "partial 16S ribosomal RNA". It matches the Rfam family "Bacterial small subunit ribosomal RNA", at positions 28 to 526 of the family's 1533-position model. The record is from RNAcentral.
GACGAACGCUGGCGGCGUGCCUAAUACAUGCAAGUCGAACGCAGUGGGUACGGGUUAUUAACACGUGGGUAACCUCCCAUCACAGGGGAUAACCCUUGGAAACAGGUGCUAAACCGCUACUGAUGGAUGGACCCGCGGUGCAUUAGCUAGUUGGAGAGGUAACGGCUCAACAAGGCCAAGAUCCAUAGCCGACUUGGGUGGGUGAUCUGCCACACUGGGCCUGAGACACGGCCCAGACUCCUACGGGAGGCAGCAGUAGGGAAUCUUCGGCAAGGGACGAAAGUCUGACCGAGCCACGCCGCGUGAAUGAAGAAGGUUUUCGGAUCGUAAAACUCUGUUGUUAGAGAAGCGGUAUCUAACCAGAAAGCCACGGCUAACUACGUGCCAGCAGCCGCGGUAAUUC